UGGGGAAUAUUGGGCAAUGGGCGAAAGCCUGACCCAGCCACGCCGCGUGAGUGAUGAAGGCCUUCGGGUCGUAAAGCUCUGUGGGGAGGGACGAACAAGCUCCGGGCUAAUCACCGGGGACCUGACGGUACCUCCUUAGCAAGCACCGGCUAACCCUGUGCCAGCAGCCGCGGUAAUACAGGGGGUGCAAACGUUGCUCGGAAUCAUUGGGCGUAAAGCGCACGUAGGCGGUCUGUUAUGUCGGAUGUGAAAGCCCUUGGCUUAACCGAGGAAGUGCAUCCGAAACUGGCGAGCUAGAGUACUAAAGAGGAUCGCGGAAUUCCCGGUGUAGAGGUGAAAUUCGUAGAUAUCGGGAGGAACACCGGUGGCGAAGGCGGCGAUCUGGGUAGAUACUGACGCUGAGGUGCGAAAGCGUGGGGAGCAAACA
Molecule: ribosomal RNA, 427 nt
Filed under: uncultured Haliangium sp.
Lineage: Bacteria; Pseudomonadati; Myxococcota; Haliangiales; Kofleriaceae
Description: bacterial SSU rRNA
Rfam family: Bacterial small subunit ribosomal RNA
Source: RNAcentral